RNAcentral lists this unclassified non-coding RNA (340 nucleotides) under soil metagenome. RNAcentral's name for it is "partial contains 5.8S ribosomal RNA, internal transcribed spacer 2, and large subunit ribosomal RNA". The stretch from base 1 to 120 matches the Rfam family "5.8S ribosomal RNA", at positions 35 to 154 of the family's 154-position model. The record is from RNAcentral.
GAUGAAGAACGUAGCGAAAUGCGAUAAGUAGUGUGAAUUGCAGAAUUCAGUGAAUCAUCGAAUCUUUGAACGCACAUUGCGCCCUUUGGUAUUCCAAAGGGCAUGCCUGUUCGAGCGUCAUUUGUACCUCAAGCUUUGCUUGGUGUUGGGCGUCUUGUCUCUAGCUUUGCUGGAGACUCGCCUUAAAGUAAUUGGCAGCCGGCCUACUGGUUUCGGAGCGCAGCACAAGUCGCACUCUCUAUCAGCAAAGGUCUAGCAUCCACUAAGCCUUUUUUUCAACUUUUGACCUCGGAUCAGGUAGGGAUACCCGCUGAACUUAAGCAUAUCAAUAAGCGGAGGA